Molecule: ribosomal RNA, 254 nt
Filed under: uncultured microorganism
Description: partial 16S ribosomal RNA
Rfam family: Archaeal small subunit ribosomal RNA
Source: RNAcentral
CACCGGCGGCUCGAGUGGUGGCCACUUUUAUUGGGUCUAAAGCGUCCGUAGCCGGCUUGGCAAAUCCCCUGGGAAAUCUGGCGGCUUAACCGUCAGGCGUCCAGAGGAUACUGCCAGGCUUGGGACCGGGAGAGGUGAGAGGUACCUCAGGGGUAGGGGUGAAAUCUUGUGAUCCCUGAGGGACCACCAGUGGCGAAGGCGUCUCACUAGAACGGGUCCGACGGUCAGGGACGAAAGCUGGGGGCACGAACCGG